GACGAACGCUGGCGCCUUGCGUAACACAUGCAAGUCGAACGGAAAGGCCCUGCUUUUGUGGGGUGCUCGAGUGGCGAACGGGUGAGUAACACGUGAGUAACCUGCCCUUGACUUUGGGAUAACUUCAGGAAACUGGGGCUAAUACCGGAUAGGAGCUCCUGCUGCAUGGUGGGGGUUGGAAAGUUUCGGCGGUUGGGGAUGGACUCGCGGCUUAUCAGCUUGUUGGUGGGGUAGUGGCUUACCAAGGCUUUGACGGGUAGCCGGCCUGAGAGGGUGACCGGCCACAUUGGGACUGAGAUACGGCCCAGACUCCUACGGGAGGCAGCAGUGGGGAAUAUUGCACAAUGGGCGGAAGCCUGAUGCAGCAACGCCGCGUGCGGGAUGACGGCCUUCGGGUUGUAAACCGCUUUCGCCUGUGACGAAGCGUGAGUGACGGUAAUGGGUAAAGAAGCACCGGCUAACUACGUGCCAGCAGCCGCGGUGAUACGUAGGGUGCGAGCGUUGUCCGGAUUUAUUGGGCGUAAAGGGCUCGUAGGUGGUUGAUCGCGUCGGAAGUGUAAUCUUGGGGCUUAACCCUGAGCGUGCUUUCGAUACGGGUUGACUUGAGGAAGGUAGGGGAGAAUGGAAUUCCUGGUGGAGCGGUGGAAUGCGCAGAUAUCAGGAGGAACACCAGUGGCGAAGGCGGUUCUCUGGGCCUUUCCUGACGCUGAGGAGCGAAAGCGUGGGGAGCGAACAGGCUUAGAUACCCUGGUAGUCCACGCUGUAAACGGUGGGUACUAGGUGUGGGGUCCAUUCCACGGGUUCCGUGCCGUAGCUAACGCUUUAAGUACCCCGCCUGGGGAGUACGGCCGCAAGGCUAAAACUCAAAGGAAUUGACGGGGCCCCGCACAAGCGGCGGAGCAUGCGGAUUAAUUCGAUGCAACGCGUAGAACCUUACCUGGGUUUGACAUGGAUCGGGAGUGCUCAGAGAUGGGUGUGCCUCUUUUGGGGUCGGUUCACAGGUGGUGCAUGGCUGUCGUCAGCUCGUGUCGUGAGAUGUUGGGUUAAGUCCCGCAACGAGCGCAACCCUUGUUCACUGUUGCCAGCACGUUAUGGUGGGGACUCAGUGGAGACCGCCGGGGUCAACUCGGAGGAAGGUGGGGAUGACGUCAAGUCAUCAUGCCCCUUAUGUCCAGGGCUUCACGCAUGCUACAAUGGCUGGUACAGAGAGUGGCGAGCCUGUGAGGGUGAGCGAAUCUCGGAAAGCCGGUCUCAGUUCGGAUUGGGGUCUGCAACUCGACCUCAUGAAGUCGGAGUCGCUAGUAAUCGCAGAUCAGCAACGCUGCGGUGAAUACGUUCCCGGG
This 1343-nucleotide ribosomal RNA is filed under the name uncultured bacterium. Its description in RNAcentral is "16S ribosomal RNA". It matches the Rfam family "Bacterial small subunit ribosomal RNA", at positions 28 to 1378 of the family's 1533-position model. The record is from RNAcentral.